AUGGCCAUGGCGCCCCACCCACCGGUCCUCCUCCUGCUGCUCCUCGCGCCGCUCCUCCUCUGCUCGCUGCUCCCCGAUGCGGCGCGGGCGGCCGGCGCCGAGGACGCCGGCGUGACCAUCGUGCGCAAGGACGGCACGACCUGCACGCUCUGCGCCUCCUGCGAGAACCCCUGCAACCCCAACCCAGGAUACAACUACCCGUCGCCACCUCCCCCGGCUCAGGGAGGACAAGGUGGAGGAGGAGGAGGCGGUGCGUACCCGACGCCCCCGCCGCCCAACCCGUUCCUGCCCUACUUCCCCUUCUACUACUACAGCCCGCCACCCCAGCUCAAGAGCUCGGCGCCGGCCGUCCCGUCGUCCGCCGCGGCGCCGCCGCUGCUGCUGCUCGCGCUCUCCGGGCUCCUGCUCUGCAGUGAGAACUCUCACCAGUACGCCGACUCAGCUUCAGACGAGGGCAUCAUCAAGAUCCCUGAGACCAUCGAUGACUCUGAUUUCGAGGGCACUGAACCUGAUGUUUUGUGCAAUGAACACUCCCUGCCAGCAGAGAGGCGUGUUGCUUUCCAGGGCAUCCAUACUGGCAGGAGGUUCUUUGCUUGUGCUGUGAAGGAGGGAAGAAAUUGUGGGCUAGUUGAAUGGGUUGAUCCAUUUUGGCCAGCUACAAUGGAGAAUGCAUUGACCAAGUUGUGGGAUAAGUAUGAAGAGUGCGGGAGGAGCAAGAUUGAGGACAAUCUGGGAAGCUCAUUUGCUGUUCACAAUCUGACACAACAGAAGAUCAAGCUGCAGGCAAGUUAUGAGAGGUUGGUUGAAGAUGUCAACGACCUUUUGGAUAGGAGCAGAGGGCUCAGAUGGAGAGAGGUGAAGCUUGCUGAAGAGAAGAUUAAGUUGCAGGCCCACAUUGAUGAGCUUGAGAAGGUUGCCGAGCAGACCAAGCUGAAGCUGAAUGGGAUCAAAGCCAUCUUAGAUGAAUGA
RNAcentral lists this ribosomal RNA (969 nucleotides) under Triticum aestivum (bread wheat). Its description in RNAcentral is "partial small subunit ribosomal RNA". The record is from RNAcentral. Lineage: Eukaryota; Viridiplantae; Streptophyta; Magnoliopsida; Poales; Poaceae.